RNAcentral lists this transfer RNA (169 nucleotides) under Marmota monax (woodchuck). RNAcentral's name for it is "tRNA.Ala". The record is from RNAcentral. Lineage: Eukaryota; Metazoa; Chordata; Mammalia; Rodentia; Sciuridae.
UUGGUAGUGGCUCAAAGGUAGAGUGUUCGCCUAGCACAUUCAAGGCCCUAGGUUGAUCCUCAGCACCACAUAAAACAAUAAAUAAAUAAAAUAAAGAUAUUUUUUUAAAAAAGGGUUGGGGAUGUAGCUCGGUAAUAGAGCACUCCUGGGUUCAAUUCCUAGCACCAAA